UUACCUAUUGUGCUUCGUACUCAAAACCGAAUUAACUUCAAACAUACAUUCAUCAAUUUUGUAACAAAUAGGAAAGAAGAGGAAAGAAAGCCUUUCAUAAUUUUUGUUCAUUUUCCAUUUUUUAUUCUUUUCGGUUCUCUUUUUCUUUGGUGGUCUAACCAGGGAGUUAGCAAAAAUUCUUGCAAGGCAUCCCUUCCAUUAUUUAUAUUCUGCAAUAUCAUUUAUAAUGUUCAUUUCCUAAUGUGAUCUGCAAUCUGGGUCACUUUUUGAUAUCAGUGGGAAUUGUUUGUACCCUGAAAACCUGGUCAGAAAGGCUGACGACUGCUUCUCUUAUAUUUUCCUUGAAUAGGCAACGAGGAAUAGUCUUAACUCACAUGUUAGCUUUCGUUAAUAAUCUUAGUCUUCUAUCUUUUACCUUGUAUUGUUGAUCAUCAGAUGAAAGCUGUUUCCUGAAGGUUGAAUUUGACUUUUCCAUUGACAGUUCUUCUAUUAUUUUUGGCAUCCAGCUUUUAUUUUAGCUUGUAGCAGAGAGUAUGGUUCGUCUUACCGGUCCAUACUGGUGUACUGAUCGGCCAUUGGUACGGUACGUACCAACGUACCAAUAUAUGGCACAGUGGGGCAUAUGAACAAACCGGUAUGUACUGUCCAUGCCGGUCCCUUGCUAGACCAGUAUGUACCAUCCGUACCAAGCGGUAUGCCAUGGUACAACGAACCUUGGCAUAGAGUACAUCUGUAUGCAAGCUAUCCUGAAUUUGACAAUGUGCUUAAUAUCUCAUUUUUCCAUGAAUGCACUGGUGUGCGUUGUGAUUUGUAAACUUUGACAUCCUAUGCUCUUUGCAAUAUCCAAACUCUUCAUUCAACACUUUGGUUGUGUCCUCUAGUUACUAUGAGAAUUUUAU
This 899-nucleotide long non-coding RNA is filed under the name Musa acuminata (dwarf banana). RNAcentral's name for it is "long non-coding RNA (MACU_LNC006158)". The record is from RNAcentral. Lineage: Eukaryota; Viridiplantae; Streptophyta; Magnoliopsida; Zingiberales; Musaceae.